GUUGGUGGGAAGCACUGCUCCUUGCCGGCUGCCUGGCGCAUGGGUGACGAGCGUUCCCAGCAGAAGCAGCCAGGACUGGUGGUCUACGGAAAAGAAAUCUGUGGCAGUAAUCAAAGGAGAGCUUGUCUCCUGAGCUUCCAUAAUUGGGAGAUGCAAGUUUGCGCCGUUCAUUAACCUAGAGAUGAGUGAUGCCAAACGGGAUCCUGGAGACUCUUGAAGCAAGGACGCAGGGGAAAGAAAAAAAAAAAAAGCAACAAACCCACCAUGUUCUGGAGCAGUUUCCAGCGUGUGCCGUCCCCGGGGAUUUGCUCAUGGAUUGUUGGGAGCUGCUUCCAGUGCCAGGCCCUGCGGUGGCAUUUAUUAAAAGAUACCUUCACUGCCAUUCGCCUUUUUUUUAUCAUCGCCGUGGAUUUAAUUGAAAUGAUGCGUCCCUCUCUCCUACAAUAUCAUGUUGUUAUGACACACGGUGUGCAGCUGUUCUCUCUGAUGCAAACAGGAAGUUUGGGAAUUAAAAAUGCUUUUCAAAUGGAA
RNAcentral lists this long non-coding RNA (531 nucleotides) under Gallus gallus (chicken). RNAcentral describes it as "lncRNA (ENSGALG00010020634.1)". The record is from RNAcentral. Lineage: Eukaryota; Metazoa; Chordata; Aves; Galliformes; Phasianidae.